GGGCACUUGUCGCAUUGAUGGCAUAGAGAAGGUUGGGUAUGGAGGACACAGAAGAAGAAUAAUGAGCGUCUCAGCCUUUCUAUAAUACAGCCUGAGAUCUCAGUCAUUCUUUUGGACAGUUGACAGCUCACAGCUUUUACAAUCAGACCAAACAACCACUUGCACAGCUUUCGUCAGCAGCACAUCUGCGUCUAAGGGUCACUAAUGACCUCUUGAUACAUGCCAGAGCUGAUGGAAGAGGCUGCAGACACCUUGCCAAAAAUGAUGCCGGAAGCAUUGCAAUUCUUAACAACAGAUGGUGUUACCCCCAAUAUGUUACCAUGGGAUGGCUGCAGCUCCAUGAUAGAGUGGUUGUCUGAUGCUUCGAGGAUUGAAGGGAGUUCAGCGAACACACAAGCGGGAUCACAAAUUAUUAAACAACAGCCUGAACAUCACAACACUUCGAUAGACGAGGAGUGCAGAUCAACAAAGAGGAGGAUUACGUAACUUGCACGGGGAUUAAAGAUGUGGUAAAGCAGACAGGUGCUCUGAAGUUGAAGUUUUAAUUUUCAGAUUGUUUAUAUGUCAUGUAUUUAUUUAUUUUUUUUGUAAAAAGAAAAGUACGAGUGUAAGUAUAAGUGUUCGUGAAUAUACUGACUGACAGUACAUUAGUGGGAGGCUUUAAAUUUUAAACCCAGCCAGAAUCCUCCCAGGCAAUUAAAGGUUGUGUUCAGAGCCAAGAAGUCCAAAUAAAAUAACACACAUACAUUCAGAAACAGGGCAGAUGCAUGCUUGCGCACACACACACACAGGCACGCACACACCCCGAGGAUGAGGUGAAGGUGGCAAAACCCUUCAUAUCGCAGUGUGACUGUGCCUCUGUCUCUGUUCAUGUAUCGAUAGACACACCAUGCCCACACGCCCCCCCACACACAUACACACACUCCAGUGUUUGGCUCACAGUGGAAACACGCUACAACACACAUCCUCAUGGACUCAAUAAAUCACAGCUCUGGCUCUCUAUGUCCAAUUACUGUAAGUACCUGCAGGAAAUAUGUGCUGGACAACUUUGACAGUGUGCUACUGCUUCCUUGAAAACAAAAGUUGCGCGAGAAAGUUGUAAAAUGCGUGUGAUAAAUUCAGCUGGCAUUUGGUAAAAUGUU
Molecule: long non-coding RNA, 1142 nt
Organism: Poecilia reticulata (guppy)
Lineage: Eukaryota; Metazoa; Chordata; Actinopteri; Cyprinodontiformes; Poeciliidae
Source: RefSeq, a predicted model, not a curated record